RNAcentral lists this ribosomal RNA (300 nucleotides) under uncultured Spirotrichea. RNAcentral describes it as "SSU rRNA". It matches the Rfam family "Eukaryotic small subunit ribosomal RNA", at positions 190 to 490 of the family's 1831-position model. The record is from RNAcentral. Lineage: Eukaryota; Ciliophora; Spirotrichea.
UUAUGGAAGGGCCGUAUUUAUUAGAUAACAGACCAAUAUUCUUCGUGUCUAUUGUGGUGAAUCAUAGUAACUAAUCGGAUCGUAUGGGCUAGUCCCUCGACAAACCAUUCAAGUUUCUGCCCCAUCAGCUUUCGAUGGUAGUGUAUUGGACUACCAUGGCUUUCACGGGUAACGGAGGAUUAGGGUUCGAUUCCGGAGAGGGAGCCUGAGAAACGGCUACCACAUCUAAGGAAGGCAGCAGGCGCGUAAAUUACCCAAUUCUGACUCAGAGAGGUAGUGACAAGAAAUAACGGGCCGGGA